Molecule: ribosomal RNA, 450 nt
Filed under: uncultured bacterium
Lineage: Bacteria
Description: partial 16S ribosomal RNA
Rfam family: Bacterial small subunit ribosomal RNA
Source: RNAcentral
GUGGGGAAUCUUCCGCAAUGGACGAAAGUCUGACGGAGCAACGCCGCGUGAGUGAAGAAGGUUUUCGAAUCGUAAAGCUCUGUUGUCAGGGACGAGCAGGGGGAGUAUCAACAACACUCUCUCAUGACGGUACUUGACGAGGAAGCCACGGCUAACUACGUGCCAGCAGCCGCGGUAAUACGUAGGUGGCGAGCGUUGUCCGGAAUUAUUGGGCGUAAAGGGAGCGCAGGUGGGAAAGUAAGUCUGCUUUAAAAGUGCGGGGCUCAACCCCGUGAGGGAGUGGAAACUAUUUUUCUUGAGUGCAGGAGAGGAAAGCGGAAUUCCUAGUGUAGCGGUGAAAUGCGUAGAUAUUAGGAGGAACACCAGUGGCGAAGGCGGCUUUCUGGACUGUAACUGACACUGAGGCUCGAAAGCCAGGGGAGCGAACGGGAUUAGAUACCCUAGUAGUCC